UGAGCAAGGUUGGAGUUAUUGUUAAAAGCUC
Molecule: non-coding RNA, 31 nt
Filed under: Homo sapiens (human)
Lineage: Eukaryota; Metazoa; Chordata; Mammalia; Primates; Hominidae
Source: RNAcentral